UUGGAAGAAGUUGAUCCUGGCUCAGGACGAACGCUGGGGGGGUGCCUAAUACAUGCAAGUCGAGCGGACAGAUGGGAGCUUGCUCCCUGAUGUUAGCGGCGGACGGGUGAGUAACACGUGGGUAACCUGCCUGUAAGACUGGGAUAACUCCGGGAAACCGGGGCUAAUACCGGAUGCUUGUUUGAACCGCAUGGUUCAAACAUAAAAGGUGGCUUCGGCUACCACUUACAGAUGGACCCGCGGCGCAUUAGCUAGUUGGUGAGGUAACGGCUCACCAAGGCAACGAUGCGUAGCCGACCUGAGAGGGUGAUCGGCCACACUGGGACUGAGACACGGCCCAGACUCCUACGGGAGGCAGCAGUAGGGAAUCUUCCGCAAUGGACGAAAGUCUGACGGAGCAACGCCGCGUGAGUGAUGAAGGUUUUCGGAUCGUAAAGCUCUGUUGUUAGGGAAGAACAAGUACCGUUCGAAUAGGGCGGUACCUUGACGGUACCAACCAGAAAGCC
This 506-nucleotide ribosomal RNA is filed under the name Bacillus mojavensis. Its description in RNAcentral is "bacterial SSU rRNA". It matches the Rfam family "Bacterial small subunit ribosomal RNA", at positions 1 to 492 of the family's 1533-position model. Lineage: Bacteria; Bacillati; Bacillota; Bacilli; Caryophanales; Bacillaceae. The record is from RNAcentral.